Heterocephalus glaber (naked mole-rat) is the source of this 88-nucleotide small nuclear RNA. Its record names the gene U2. It matches the Rfam family "U2 spliceosomal RNA". Rfam says of the family: U2 is a small nuclear RNA (snRNA) component of the spliceosome (involved in pre-mRNA splicing). Lineage: Eukaryota; Metazoa; Chordata; Mammalia; Rodentia; Bathyergidae. The record is from Ensembl.
AUCGCUUCUCGGCCUUUUGGCUAAGAUCAAGUGUAGUAACUAGUUACACCUUCUGUUUGCAGUUCUGAAUUAAGUUCCAUGACCAAUU